AUCGCCUUCGCGCAAGCAAGGGUGAAAAACAAUGCGGCAAGAAAGGAACAGAGACCGAGCUGCAGGGAGACAGCAGAGAAGGAUUCCGGACCGCGGGUUCGGGGCAGAGAGGACCUGCUCUUAGGGCAGCGACAGUUCCUAAGGGAAGGCGCUUCUCAGAGUUACCCAUCUCACCUGCCCACUAUCUCAGGACCGGCUAACAACAGCAAGAAUUCUUAGCAUUUUGCCAACUAACCGCAGUACUAUUUCUCAGGCUAUGGAUGA
This is a long non-coding RNA of Hyaena hyaena (striped hyena), 264 nucleotides long. RefSeq lists it as uncharacterized. Lineage: Eukaryota; Metazoa; Chordata; Mammalia; Carnivora; Hyaenidae. The transcript is spliced from 3 exons. The record is from RefSeq and is a predicted model, not a curated record.